UAUUUAAAUGAUGCUUAUGAGUUGGAGUUCUAUAUAGAUAAGCUGCAUUGUGUUCCAUCCUUGUUCCUUGGCCUAAUAGUUGAGCACUAGGCUACCUGUGUCACAAUAGCAGCAAGAUGACAUUUGGGAAAUUUGCAAGUAUUGUCAUCUUGCUUGCGUGUACACUCUUAACUUCCCUUAACCUUGUGACCGGAAAAUGUACCGAGCAAGACAAGAACGAAAUACUCAACCUAUGUAAAGACAACCUCAAACGUAAUACUCCCAUUAUUACAUUACCAAAAGACGGUCCCUGUUGUGUGGAGGUAAGAAAGAUCAACGACAUGCUGUGCAUCAUCGAUCAUAUGACAAUUCCAGAGAAGAGGAUAUACGAUGAGAAUAAGGUUCAACGCCUUUUAUGGUGGUGCAGAAAAGGGCCCUCUCCUCUUCAUCCAAAUCAAAACCAGGUAUAAAUCACACUCAUCUAUUUGUUUUACAAAAGCACAGUAGAUAAUGACAGAAGUAUUAGCUAAAAAAAGGUUAACUAUAUAUAUAUAUGCUUCGUUACAUAUCUGUGUAUUCUUCUUGCCAGGUCAUUGCGUAGAGGGAGUGAGGGACUCUAUUGGAGUGGAGUACAUGCGCGUAAUAAGGAGUAUCAGACAAGAAAAAACGAGUGCUAGUUAAUGAAAUGAUCAAUGGGUUACACUGUAAUAUGUAAUCUUUUUUAUUAAUUAACUAGUGCUUGAUCAAUUAA
This 730-nucleotide long non-coding RNA is filed under the name Sorghum bicolor (sorghum). RNAcentral describes it as "long non-coding RNA (SBIC_LNC007828)". The record is from RNAcentral. Lineage: Eukaryota; Viridiplantae; Streptophyta; Magnoliopsida; Poales; Poaceae.